CCUACGGGAGGCUGCAGUGGGGAAUAUUGGACAAUGGGCGAAAGCCUGAUCCAGCCAUGCCGCGUGUGUGAAGAAGGCCUUCGGGUUGUAAAGCACUUUCAGUGGGGAAGAAAGCCUUGGGGCUAAUACCCUCGAGGAAGGACAUCACCCACAGAAGAAGCACCGGCUAAUUCCGUGCCAGCAGCCGCGGUAAUACGGAGGGUGCGAGCGUUAAUCGGAAUUACUGGGCGUAAAGCGCGCGUAGGCGGUCUGAUAAGCCGGUUGUGAAAGCCCCGGGCUCAACCUGGGAACGGCAUCCGGAACUGUCAGGCUAGAGUGCAGGAGAGGAAGGUAGAAUUCCCGGUGUAGCGGUGAAAUGCGUAGAGAUCGGGAGGAAUACCAGUGGCGAAGGCGGCCUUCUGGACUGACACUGACGCUGAGGUGCGAAAGCGUGGGUAGCAAACAGGAUUAGAUACCCCAGUAGUC
RNAcentral lists this ribosomal RNA (465 nucleotides) under Vreelandella stevensii. Its description in RNAcentral is "partial 16S ribosomal RNA". It matches the Rfam family "Bacterial small subunit ribosomal RNA", at positions 338 to 795 of the family's 1533-position model. The record is from RNAcentral. Lineage: Bacteria; Pseudomonadati; Pseudomonadota; Gammaproteobacteria; Oceanospirillales; Halomonadaceae.